GUUUUAGUGUUUUUCAGUAUUAGGGAAAGGUAAUAUAAAAACAGGUAAAAUGUAUAAAAAUAGACCUGAUCAACAUCAUAGGAGAUAAAUAUUCAUUAUAUAGCAUAGGAUAUUAUUACUUGAAUGUUCUCAGGGAGGCAGCAAGUCAGAAGGCCUAGGUUCUAGUCCUAGCUCCAUCAUUUACCAACUGUGUGACCUUACUUCACCUCUUAGCCUUGUUCUCCUCACUAGCAGUAGGAAAGUAACACCUACCCUGCCUACCUCACAGGGCUGUUGUGAGGGUUCAAUUGGUAUAUGUGAAAAUUCUUUCAGAAUUGUAAAAUGCUAUAUGACUGUAAGGAAUUAUUGCAUUUGUUCCAAGGUUAAUAAAAAUUUGAGCUU
RNAcentral lists this long non-coding RNA (381 nucleotides) under Homo sapiens (human). RNAcentral's name for it is "non-protein coding lnc-CYSLTR1-1:1". The record is from RNAcentral. Lineage: Eukaryota; Metazoa; Chordata; Mammalia; Primates; Hominidae.